CACAGCAACACAGGAUCUGAGCCACAUCUGUGACCUCUACCACAGCUCAUGGCAAUGCCCGAUCCCCAACCCACUGAGCAAGGCCAGGGAUCGAACCUGCAUCCUCAUGGAUCCUAUUCAGGUUUGUUACUGCUGAGCCACGUCAGGAACUCCCCACAUGUGCUUUCAAUAGUGAUGAUGGAAGAAUGUGUCUUUUGUGAGGACCGUGGGUUUUGGGAUCUAACUAGAAGACAAUAUGCAGUAAAACAUCUGAGGAUCUAUUACCUUGGGAAAAGCAUGCCUCUUCAUAAAACAUUUGCAAGCUGGUUUCUGCUUCUCCUCCUGCCCUAUCAGGCUUUUUACCUGUGCAUUACCUGUAGGAGAGGUUUUUGACCACUUUUAUUCUUAAAUAAUUAGGUAAAAAUAGUCCCACAUCAAAUGCCUCACUGACUCCUGUUUUUCUGGUCUUGGAAGAGUUAAGAAGUGACAUAUCUAAGAUAUCAAGUAAGAUUUGUACCACAUACGUAAAUUUGUGUCUUGAGACCACGCAAGAAGCUUGAGUUAGAGCUUGGCUAAAAAUUUAUGGCUUGUCAUUUCUCCCUUGAUGUUCUUCCCACAAUGCCAGUUGUAAUGUGUCCUCAAUGUAUUUCUUUCUUUAUUUUUUUUUUAAGGGAAGUAAACGUUACCUUCUUGCAGCAUUUUUAAUUUUAGAAAAACAGAAGGCGAGAGGUCCCAGAAUGGGGAUUUUCUUCUCCCAUAAUUUUCUCUCUUCCAUUUUAUCUUAUUUCACAACCUCUAUUUUCAUUAGUCAGCCUUUCUUGCAUGGGCAGGGCUCGCCAGCCAACCCUUCACCAGUUAGCAUUUUGCACCAUCGAUGCUCCCCGCUGAGCCCAAAAGCCUUGACCAGAUUGGGAAGGAGCUCAUGGGAGCAGCUUCCUUUGUUCUUCUCUUGGCUCCUCUCUCUGGCCAUGUGUUCUAGGCAGGACUUCCAAUUAGGGUGCCUGAAAGAAAUGAGCAGAUUGGAGGGGCCUUGUCCUCCUCCAUCGCCAGCAGGGCUGGGGGUGGCAUAAUAUGCUGCCCAAAACUCAUCAGGAAAGAUUUUUGCUUCCCAGGAAGGAAAAUGUGGCAUUUCAGCCACCAGGUAAAGACUGGGAGGAAUACAUGGAAAGUGUGGCAGAUCUGGGGCAGGGUGUGGACAUAUCAGGGUAUCCAUAUUUUUAUAAUAAGAUUAAUGUGUCCCAAAGCUGAAUAUAAGCUUCCCUUGUAACUGUUGCAUAUGUUGAAGUGCUGUAUCUCUAUGUGAGUUGUAAGGGCGUUAAGCCUCCUUUGACUUUCGUUAUACUCACAAUAGAUACUAUAUAUUUUAUACAUAUAUUUGUAGACCACAAUAUAAGUACCAUAAACACAGAGAUUUAAAAUUUGAUAUAAAGAUUUCUUUGCUGUUAUAUCCCAGUGUCAGACGGGAGCUUAGCAUAUUGUAAGCACUGGUGUGAUAUUUAGAAUAUUUAACUACUGGUUCAGCACAGGCAGUGACCAGUCCAGAGACUUUAAACCAUUGGUGUGCUGGGGUGACUAUCAGUCUUGAUAAACCCUCAGUGAAUGUUGGCUGAAUGACCUAAUGAGAGGUACUGUUCUCAUAUAAGUGCCAAAUAUGUAGUUUUGAAUUGACUUUUGAGAACUUACUUACUUAAAAUAGGUCAUAGCAAUUCACGCACACAUAAAAAUGUGUAUAUGACUAUACCUAUAUAUAUGUAAAAUUGUUAGCUUGUCUGAUAGUCAAAGAAAUACAAAUUCAGCAUAUUUACUUGUUGUUUUUCUCUGGACUUCCAAACCUAAGACAAAUAAUGUUUCUUGCACAGGCAUGAAGGUGGCGAGUAUGCAGCUUCUGAGUGCCAUUAUUCUACAGGUCACUCUGUCUAGCCUGAAAAGAGUUUCAUUUGUAUUGAAAUGAAACAGGGCUCACUGCUAAAAUAUUACUGGAUUUCAACGAUACUGCAAUUAAGUCAUAUAUUCCACAAACCUUGAAAAUAUGCUGAAGAGUAUUUAACUGAGUAAUUACUCUGGUAAAUUUUUAUUCUGAAAAAUUACUUUAUAAAUGCACAUGGCUGUAUAUAUUUAUAUUCAUUACAACAUUGUUAAAAUAGUAAAAAAAAAUGCUGAGCUACUUAAAAUGUUCAACAACAGGGAAUUGGUGAAGUAUAUUAUAUUGCAUUCAAACUAGGUUAUCCUGUGCAGCCCUGAUAAAUGUUCAAGUAGCACCUUAUAGGUAGGACUUUGUACUUUAUGAUAACAUGCAAAGGUAAUACAAACUGAUACUAAUUCACCCAAUUGCUAUAACAAAGGUGAUGUCUAGCUAACAAAGGAUCACAUUCUAUUCAGAAUCUAUUAAGUAAGGAGUUCCUGUUGUGGCUCAGCGGGUUAAGGAUCUGGUGUUGUCUCUGUGAGGAUGUGUGCUCAAUCCCUGGCCUUGCUCAGUGGGUUAAGGAUCUGGCAUUGCCACAAGCUACAGCAUAGGUCAUGGAGGCAGCUCAGAUCUGGUGCUGCCGUGGGUGUGGUAUAGGCCUGCCACUGCAGCUCCGAUUUGACCCCUAGCCUGGGAACUUCCAUGUACCGCAACUAUUUGGCCGCAGAAAGAAAAAAAAAUAUAUAUAUUAAGCAAAAAAAAAAAAAAAAGAAGGAAAAGAAAAAGGAAAAAAAAAAAAAAGAAAAA
RNAcentral lists this long non-coding RNA (2689 nucleotides) under Sus scrofa (pig). Its description in RNAcentral is "lncRNA (ENSSSCG00015012998.1)". Lineage: Eukaryota; Metazoa; Chordata; Mammalia; Artiodactyla; Suidae. The record is from RNAcentral.